This 242-nucleotide long non-coding RNA is filed under the name Elaeis guineensis (African oil palm). RNAcentral describes it as "long non-coding RNA (EGUI_LNC034433)". Lineage: Eukaryota; Viridiplantae; Streptophyta; Magnoliopsida; Arecales; Arecaceae. The record is from RNAcentral.
CUCCCAAGUGCGAGGCAAAAUGGGUGAGGAUACUACACAAAAAUAAAAUUAUGAUUACUAUUUUAAAUGAGCUUAGUUUUUAUUUUGAAAUUAAUCUUCUUCAAAUUUUGUUAAAAUAAAAUGAUGCAGGUGCUAGAGCAGUCUAUAUCUGAUGGUCAUCCUAUGAUAACAGACCAGAUAUGUGAUAAAGUUCUGGGGACCAGACUAGAUUAUGUCUAUGAUUUGAGAGUUGGACCUUGUCU